UUUUAUGGGUAACCUGAAUGUUUGACUGGGAUAACUCCGGGAAACCGGAGCUAAUACCGGAUAGUUCCUUGAACCGCAUGGUUCAAGGAUGAAAGACGGUUUCGGCUGUCACUUACAGAUGGACCCGCGGCGCAUUAGCUAGUUGGUGGGGUAAUGGCUCACCAAGGCGACGAUGCGUAGCCGACCUGAGAGGGUGAUCGGCCACACUGGGACUGAGACACGGCCCAGACUCCUACGGGAGGCAGCAGUAGGGAAUCUUCCGCAAUGGACGAAAGUCUGACGGAGCAACGCCGCGUGAGUGAUGAAGGUUUUCGGAUCGUAAAGCUCUGUUGUUAGGGAAGAACAAGUGCGAGAGUAACUGCUCGCACCUUGACGGUACCUAACCAGAAAGCCACGGCUAACUACGUGCCAGCAGCCGCGGUAAUACGUAGGUGGCAAGCGUUGUCCGGAAUUAUUGGGCGUAAAGGGCUCGCAGGCGGUUUCUUAAGUCUGAUGUGAAAGCCCCCGGCUCAACCGGGGAGGGUCAUUGGAAACUGGGAAAACUUGAGUGCAGAAGAGGAGAGUGGAAUUCCACGUGUAGCGGUGAAAUGCGUAGAGAUGUGGAGGAACACCAGUGGCGAAGGCGACUCUCUGGUCUGUAACUGACGCUGAGGAGCGAAAGCGUGGGGAGCGAACAGGAUUAGAUACCCUGGUAGUCCACGCCGUAAACGAUGAGUGCUAAGUGUUAGGGGGUUUCCGCCCCUUAGUGCUGCAGCUAACGCAUUAAGCACUCCGCCUGGGGAGUACGGUCGCAAGACUGAAACUCAAAGGAAUUGACGGGGGCCCGCACAAGCGGUGGAGCAUGUGGUUUAAUUCGAAGCAACGCGAAGAACCUUACCAGGUCUUGACAUCCUCUGACAACCCUAGAGAUAGGGCUUUCCCUUCGGGGACAGAGUGACAGGUGGUGCAUGGUUGUCGUCAGCUCGUGUCGUGAGAUGUUGGGUUAAGUCCCGCAACGAGCGCAACCCUUGAUCUUAGUUGCCAGCAUUCAGUUGGGCACUCUAAGGUGACUGCCGGUGACAAACCGGAGGAAGGUGGGGAUGACGUCAAAUCAUCAUGCCCCUUAUGACCUGGGCUACACACGUGCUACAAUGGACAGAACAAAGGGCUGCAAGACCGCAAGGUUUAGCCAAUCCCAUAAAUCUGUUCUCAGUUCGGAUCGCAGUCUGCAACUCGACUGCGUGAAGAUGGAAUCGCUAGUAAUCGCGGAUCA
Molecule: ribosomal RNA, 1252 nt
Filed under: Bacillus sp. (in: firmicutes)
Lineage: Bacteria; Bacillati; Bacillota; Bacilli; Caryophanales; Bacillaceae
Description: bacterial SSU rRNA
Rfam family: Bacterial small subunit ribosomal RNA
Source: RNAcentral